CCCUGGCUCAGAUUGAACGCUGGCGGCAGGCCUAACACAUGCAAGUCGAGCGGUAGAGAGAAGCUUGCUUCUCUUGAGAGCGGCGGACGGGUGAGUAAUGCCUAGGAAUCUGCCUGGUAGUGGGGGAUAACGCUCGGAAACGGACGCUAAUACCGCAUACGUCCUACGGGAGAAAGCAGGGGACCUUCGGGCCUUGCGCUAUCAGAUGAGCCUAGGUCGGAUUAGCUAGUUGGUGAGGUAAUGGCUCACCAAGGCGACGAUCCGUAACUGGUCUGAGAGGAUGAUCAGUCACACUGGAACUGAGACACGGUCCAGACUCCUACGGGAGGCAGCAGUGGGGAAUAUUGGACAAUGGGCGAAAGCCUGAUCCAGCCAUGCCGCGUGUGUGAAGAAGGUCUUCGGAUUGUAAAGCACUUUAAGUUGGGAGGAAGGGCAGUAAAUUAAUACUUUGCUGUUUUGACGUUACCGACAGAAUAAGCACCGG
RNAcentral lists this ribosomal RNA (484 nucleotides) under Pseudomonas sp. CL3.145. RNAcentral's name for it is "bacterial SSU rRNA". It matches the Rfam family "Bacterial small subunit ribosomal RNA", at positions 17 to 496 of the family's 1533-position model. Lineage: Bacteria; Pseudomonadati; Pseudomonadota; Gammaproteobacteria; Pseudomonadales; Pseudomonadaceae. The record is from RNAcentral.